CAGCCGCCACGGGAAUACGGAGGGCGCGAGCGUUACCCGGAUUUACUGGGCGUAAAGGGCGUGUAGGCGGCCUGGGGCGUCCCAUGUGAAAGGCCACGGCUCAACCGUGGAGGAGCGUGGGAUACGCUCAGGCUAGAGGGUAGGAGAGGGUGGUGGAAUUCCCGGAGUAGCGGUGAAAUGCGCAGAUACCGGGAGGAACGCCGAUGGCGAAGGCAGCCACCUGGUCCACUUCUGACGCUGAGGCGCGAAAGCGUGGGGAGCAAACCGGAUUAGAUACCCGCGUAGUCCCUGUCUCUUAUAC
This 301-nucleotide ribosomal RNA is filed under the name uncultured bacterium. RNAcentral describes it as "partial 16S ribosomal RNA". It matches the Rfam family "Bacterial small subunit ribosomal RNA", at positions 509 to 807 of the family's 1533-position model. The record is from RNAcentral.